GACGAACGCUGGCGGCGUGCUUAACACAUGCAAGUCGAACGAAGAGCGACGGAAGCUUGCUUCUAUCAAUCUUAGUGACGAACGGGUGAGUAACGCGUAAUCAACCUGCCCUUCAGAGGGGGACAACAGUUGGAAACGACUGCUAAUACCGCAUACGAUCUAACCUCGGCAUCGAGGAUAGAUGAAAGGUGGCCUCUACAUGUAAGCUAUCACUGAAGGAGGGGAUUGCGUCUGAUUAGCUAGUUGGAGGGGUAACGGCCCACCAAGGCGAUGAUCAGUAGACGGUCUGAGAGGAUGAACGGCCACAUUGGGACUGAGACACGGCCCAGACUCCUACGGGAGGCAGCAGUGGGGAAUCUUCCGCAAUGGACGAAAGUCUGACGGAGCAACGCCGCGUGAGUGAUGACGGCCUUCGGGUUGUAAAGCUCUGUUAAUCGGGACGAAAGGCCUUCUUGCGAAUAGUGAGAAGGAUUGACGGUACCGGAAUAGAAAGCCACGGCUAACUACGUG
This 510-nucleotide ribosomal RNA is filed under the name uncultured bacterium. RNAcentral describes it as "partial 16S ribosomal RNA". It matches the Rfam family "Bacterial small subunit ribosomal RNA", at positions 28 to 507 of the family's 1533-position model. The record is from RNAcentral.